UUUUUGGCUUCCACAGCAAUCUUGCUUUCCUAAUUCUUCUCAAUUAAUUUUGAUUUGAAAACCUGGCAAUGCACAUUAUGUACACUCUACACUAUUGUCUUUGUGGGGCUGGAAUUCAGUAGGAGUGUCUUCCCAACUGAUACUUGGUAUGCUAUGCUGCUUCUAAAUGACAGCAUCCAUUAUCAACUGGAAUACUGAGGCAUUUUCCACAAUACCAGUUUUCCUCCUUGGAUGAAGCAUUGUGCGUUUGCAUAUCAAAUUAAAUUUAAAUGUAAAUUCUGUGAAUAGAGGUCUUGUUUUUCUAUAGCUAUCCUCUGUGCUAGUCUUUGGGGAUUUUGACCUAUGACUCAAUCACUGUACUGCCUUCUGGUUUUUUAUCAUUGUCCAGAGAAUAACAGAUCUGUGUGAAGCGCACAGCAGAAUCUGAUUCUCAUGUUUUCUUUUAUAUAAUUGCAGAUAAGAGCUUGGAAAGAAAGCGGUUUGAGGCCACGAUGUUGACUGUGAUCCUGUGUGACCUGGGAUGAGACAAGACACUGCGCCUCCAUUUCUUCAGCUGUGAAGGCAGACAUCACCUUGCUGGAGGGUUUUCUAAAUGUGAGGUUUGGAGACAAUGCCUGGCACACAGGAGGCACUCAGUGACCGCUGGGUGUCAGGAUCAUCACCAGUGCUUUUCCUGUUCUCGCCUUCCUCAUGGGGAGGAGGUGCCAGACCCUCUCCUGCAUCCUCCUGCAGGCAGUGGCCAGCGGGUCCUGGAUGAGCUCCUGGAGCUGCUCCUCCCUCUGCAGCUUCCACAGCAGUGAGCAGAUCAGACCCUUGCUGAUGACACCGUGGGCCCCUGCACGACAGGAAAGGGCACUGAGGGUAGACCGGCCACACCCCUCCCAUGCUGGUUGGCCUCAGGGAUCAGGAAGGAUUUUGCAGAGCAACUGGGUGGGUUUGAAAAGAGAACUUGCAAAUUACCCAUCACCCCCCAAAGCUGCCUGGCCAGGGGCCUGAGAAGCCAACAGGAGGCUGUGGGUGAAGCCAUGUCAGGGGCUGAGUGAGAGGACAGGAACAGAGGACCCAGGAAGGGCCAGCCUUUUGCCACUGGCAUCUCAGGGGGCAUCUGCCAUAGCAGGGCACAGUGUCCUGAGAGGCAGCAGCCACCCCCGGGAGAUCCAGCAGCUCACUGCUUCAGGGCCUACGCCCACCAGGAGACCCUCAGGUCUUCCCUACCACUGCCCUAGAAUAGGGGAGCCAACAAAGACCCCCCUUCCCACCCAAAAUAUUUCAAAUGAGUUGGAGACUCACGCCUGGUCAUACCAGCCCCUGAGAAGAGCCUGGGUUCAACUCUUGAGAUGGAAGACCUAGAGUGUAGGUCAGUGUCUCAUACACCAACAAGAACUGUGCCCCAACUAAAGCGAUGGGAAGCCAUAGGCUCUGGCCAAGGGGUCUUGAAAGGACAUCUGGCUCUGUGGGAAGGGGGUCUCCACAUGGCACAGCUGGUGCAGGUACUGGCAGGAGUACAAUGAGGCAAGCCUCCCCCAUAAACAGGCCCCACCUGGCUCCUCCCAGCUGGAGAUGGAAGCCUGGGAGGGAAGUGGUUGGUUCAGCCUGGAAAGCCUGUGGGGCAGGUAAGAGUUGAGAGAUUUUAUGGAAUUUGGAGGCCUAUGGAGGAGAGAAGCCAGAGGGGUGAGGAGGAACAUCAAUCCCUAGAGGGGCCUGGGCAGGCACUAGCUUUCACUAAGGAGUUACUAUUUUGUCCAUCAUGAACUUGUUUCAGUCAAAUUUUCUUCUUUUUUUUUUUUCUGAGGUCAUUUAAUAGAUGCAGUAUACCUAAUUCAUAUGGCUGUAUGAGGAUUUUUAAAACUACUGUAUAUAAUGCAGAAUAUUUUAACAUCUUUUACUUGGUAGCUACUUACAAUCCUUUCCAAAUGUAAAACAUAAAUUAUCAAAAUCUGAGAAUCAGAUUUAGAGAGCCGACAUAAAAUCAUCAGUUAGUGACUAUUAUGACUCAGAGGUGCAUAUUUCUGCUUUUCAUUGGAGACUCAGGGUGCCCUCGCCAUUAGUUCCUUUAGCCUUAACAGCAGAGGUUUUUUUCUUAGGGUCAUUGAGACUGGGCACAUCUCAGAGUUAAUAUUCAUUGAUAAAUUAGUUAAGUAAGAAAUAGAAAAAAGCUGAACUCAUGAGAAAAUUUGAGAAGACAGAGCACAUAAACAGGACUAUAAUUCACAAUAACUUAGGUUUUGCUAGAAAAAGAAUCUCAAAAUCUCAGUGACUUAAUAAAGGUUCAAUUGGGCUACAUAUUUAGAAAGAGUUGAGACACUGCAGAGUGCACAGCAAUCAAAUUCCAACCAAAAAAAAAAAAAAAUUUCCAACCUAAUGGAGUUUGUAUUCCAA
Cercocebus atys (sooty mangabey) is the source of this 2379-nucleotide long non-coding RNA. RefSeq lists it as uncharacterized. The transcript has 2 exons. The record is from RefSeq and is a predicted model, not a curated record. Lineage: Eukaryota; Metazoa; Chordata; Mammalia; Primates; Cercopithecidae.